UACAGAGGGGGCAAGCGUUGUUCGGAAUUACUGGGCGUAAAGGGCGCGUAGGCGGCCUUCUAAGUCGAACGUGAAAUCCCCGGGCUCAACCCGGGAACUGCGUCUGAUACUGGAAGGCUUGAAUCCGGGAGAGGGAUGCGGAAUUCCAGGUGUAGCGGUGAAAUGCGUAGAUAUCUGGAGGAACACCGGUGGCGAAGGCGGCAUCCUGGACCGGCAUUGACGCUGAGGCGCGAAAGCCAGGGGAGCAAACGGG
This 253-nucleotide ribosomal RNA is filed under the name uncultured bacterium. RNAcentral's name for it is "partial 16S ribosomal RNA". It matches the Rfam family "Bacterial small subunit ribosomal RNA", at positions 524 to 776 of the family's 1533-position model. The record is from RNAcentral.